UACGGGGGGGGCAAGCGUUGUUCGGAUUCACUGGGUUUAAAGGGUGCGUAGGUGGGUAAGUAAGUCAGUGGUGAAAUCUCCGGGCUUAACCCGGAAACUGCCAUUGAUACUAUUUGUCUUGAAUACUGUGGAGGUCAGCGGAAUAUGUCAUGUAGCGGUGAAAUGCUUAGAUAUGACAUAGAACACCAAUUGCGAAGGCAGCUGGCUACACAAAUAUUGACACUGAGGCACGAAAGCGUGGGGAUCAAACAGG
Molecule: ribosomal RNA, 253 nt
Filed under: uncultured bacterium
Lineage: Bacteria
Description: partial 16S ribosomal RNA
Rfam family: Bacterial small subunit ribosomal RNA
Source: RNAcentral